GAGGGUAUAGCUCAGUAGUAGAGUGUGUACCUAGCAUUCAUGAGGUCCUGGGUUCAAUUCCCAGUACCUCCA
Camelus ferus (Wild Bactrian camel) is the source of this 72-nucleotide transfer RNA. It matches the Rfam family "tRNA". Rfam says of the family: Transfer RNA (tRNA) molecules are approximately 80 nucleotides in length. Lineage: Eukaryota; Metazoa; Chordata; Mammalia; Artiodactyla; Camelidae. The record is from Rfam.